UACCUUGCGCAGUGGCAAUAUCGUAACUAAUGAUGGUCUCCUGAGGUGCGAUUAUUGCUAGUUGCUAGUUGAAAACUUUAGUUGCAAUAAUUCACUUUUGGCUAAUUUCUGGUGAGA
RNAcentral lists this small nuclear RNA (117 nucleotides) under Rhodnius prolixus. RNAcentral's name for it is "U4 spliceosomal RNA". It matches the Rfam family "U4 spliceosomal RNA". From Rfam's summary of the family: U4 small nuclear RNA (U4 snRNA) is a component of the major U2-dependent spliceosome. The structure of U4 snRNA from yeast and human has been reported. The record is from Rfam by way of RNAcentral. Lineage: Eukaryota; Metazoa; Arthropoda; Insecta; Hemiptera; Reduviidae.